GGGGCGUAGCUGGGUCCUUUUGAAGUGCACGCCAACCAGGGGGGGGGAGGGGGGGAUUGCCCCCCCCCCCCCCCAAGAUUUUUUUUUGGCUAGACGCAAAAUGGUGCGUUCUGAGGGCCUAAAAUUGGUUUGAAUAGCAAAAUAUUAAGACUGUAUUUAAUAAUUUUUUAUUGAGAAACAUCAAAAAUCUGCCCUUCGUUUUUUAGCUGCAACAAAAACGUUCAUGGCCUUGUCUAAGUUUACCUGAAAAUCACGGUGGAUGUGCAUUAAACCCAAAGCUGACAAUCUGUCAUUUCUCAUUGUGGAACGGAUGUACGUUUUCAAACCUUUCAGUACGCUAGACGACCUUUCAGCUGUAGCACUAGCAACGGACAUUGUUAGAACACACAGUAUUAAUUGUAUCAAUAGACGGAUACAAUGCGGGAUUAACGAUAUCAAGCGUUUGACACAGUGUUGUCGGCACUUUAUCACUAGGUAGGAUUCGACAGCGAGCUCGCCAGCGUUCAACCUCUCUCUUGAAGUCUUGAAUGCGUUGACGCCUUAUUUCGACAGGAAGGUGUCAAAACAGAACAAUAUGAAGUAGCCUUUCAAAAUAUCACAAUAAUUUAAAGAGGGAAUUCAGAUUACCAUGAUUACCGUUAUCGUAAUUUACGUAUAAAAGAGGGGCGAAAGAUACCAAAGGGACAGUCAAACUUGUAUAAAGGUUACUGUAAUUCAUUAAAUUUCAGGUCGGAUCCAAAGUUGCGAGAUAAAAAUGGAACAAAAGUCAAUUGGUUAUGUUUUGCCAAAAUUAUGUACGAAAUUAACAACCCUUAUAUCCAAACAAAGACGUGGGUUUACAACCCCUGCAGCCCUGUUAGUUCCACGAAGCGCAUUAUAUAUUUUUUUUAUUGAAAUAGAGUUAAUAUACCUUGUCAGAAAUUUGAAGGUGUGGACAUCUUUCCAUUUGUCGGUCAAAAGUUGUAAUUUUACAUCUUUUCCUAAGGAUGUCGAAUCUUUCAACAAAGAAAUAUCUGGAUAAGAUGGUCCCAGAUUUUUUUGUACUGUCUUUGACAUUGACACUGAUGUGGCGCUAAAGCUAAGUUCUGACAUCGUCAAUUUGUGACGUUUCAGAGUCUAUAUUGUCCUGAUUUG
Molecule: long non-coding RNA, 1134 nt
Filed under: Mytilus galloprovincialis (Mediterranean mussel)
Lineage: Eukaryota; Metazoa; Mollusca; Bivalvia; Mytilida; Mytilidae
Source: RNAcentral